GACGAACGCUGGCGGCGUGCCUAAUACAUGCAAGUCGAGCGGACAGAAGGGAGCUUGCUCCCGGAUGUUAGCGGCGGACGGGUGAGUAACACGUGGGUAACCUGCCUGUAAGACUGGGAUAACUCCGGGAAACCGGAGCUAAUACCGGAUAGUUCCUUGAACCGCAUGGUUCAAGGAUGAAAGACGGUUUCGGCUGUCACUUACAGAUGGACCCGCGGCGCAUUAGCUAGUUGGUGGGGUAAUGGCUGACCAAGGCGACGAUGCGUAGCCGACCUGAGAGGGUGAUCGGCCACACUGGGACUGAGACACGGCCCAGACUCCUACGGGAGGCAGCAGUAGGGAAUCUUCCGCAAUGGACGAAAGUCUGACGGAGCAACGCCGCGUGAGUGAUGUAGGUUUUCGGAUCGUAAAGCUCUGUUGUUAGGGAAGAACAAGUGCGAGAGUAACUGCUCGCACCUUGACGGUACCUAACCAGAAAGCCACGGCUAACUACGUGCCAGCAGCCGCCGUAA
This 512-nucleotide ribosomal RNA is filed under the name uncultured bacterium. RNAcentral describes it as "partial 16S ribosomal RNA". It matches the Rfam family "Bacterial small subunit ribosomal RNA", at positions 28 to 523 of the family's 1533-position model. The record is from RNAcentral.